CAAAUUGCGCCGCUCCAACCCAACCCCGCCUUGGGAGGCGAUAAUGAUGCUGCCUCCCCUCAUUGAGGCUUUUUUUUUUCGAACCCUCAUUGCGGCUUCGAAUCCACUCGCGUCACCGUCGUUGUUCCUCCCGUGCAUCGUGUAAGAGCUUCUCAGCGAGAUCCCCUUUUCAAGCUAGCUCCAAGUUGACGGAAUGAGGCUGCUAGCAGGUGGAGCAGUAUGACUUCGCACAAUUCUAGAUCGAAGCGGAGAGUCCCUGCCUUCAAUCGCCAUCAGUAAAGGCCUAAAUCCCUCGUAGAUGCGACCAAGUUCCAGUCUCAACGGUGACCUCAAAUCCAUUACCCUGCAUCGGCUGACGGCAUCCGUCCUCCGGGAGCAUCAUUGCUGUGUCGCAGGGGCCGUCGUUCUUUGGUGUAAUGGUGGCCCGUCGCAAGAUCCUACGAUGUAGAAUGAAGGAUUAAUGGAACAGAUAACCUUCAUGUACCAUGCUGCACAGAUUUUAGGUACCAACUAAAUUUUUGAACGCUUGAUUGCUCUUACAGUAAAUUAACAGGAUGCAUAGUACAUAGUUCUCGUAAUUUAGUUGACCUUCAUUGAUGCUACACUGUGGUCAAUUAACCAUAUAAUAUACUACUUUUUUUAAUUAUGUCGAUAGCACCAGGGAUCUCCAAGUAGAGCAAAAAGGUAUAUUGCAGUUAGCAUGUCACUAGGAUUUGUCCAAUUCCUUCUCUCUCUUUUUUUGUGUGUGGCGGAACUAUGCAAUAAUCUUUUAACAUAGUCAUGAGAUAUACUAGAAAUCCACUUCUAUAAUAUCUUCCAUCAUUAGCUGUCGCACAGUAAAUUUGCACAUGUAACUGAGAUGUGAAGCUUGGUUUCCUGUUUUAUGACCUGUAUUAGUCACAGAUUUUGUUAGAGUUGUUUAUAAUAUGUGUGGGCCUUUCUGCAGCUAAAUAAAAAUUUUCUAAUUUAUCUCAUUUGAUGCUCCGGGCAUGGCUGUUGCCAUCUUGCCAUCUGUGCGCCGUUCUGAAUGGGCAUUCCUAGACCAGCGGAGACAAAGAUUCUAAGUUUUCAAGUGAUGAGGCCUUUCUGUCGAGUUCUGUGCAAGAUGAGCCCACCUACGAGCAGCCAACGGGGGAAUUGUGCAUUGAUCUGAGUUCAAAACCAGCUGCCACUGAAUGAGAGAAGCUCUAAAUGAUUAUCUCAAAUUCCGGAUGUAAAUGUAUAUUGUUAAUGUUUGUAUUCGGCUAGAAAAAGCUAAUGUCCAUUAGUGUGCGAUGUUUCUAAAUUAUUGUACAAUAUACUUGAACCUCGUUGUUCCUAUUUGUAUCUCGAAAAAUUUAAUGUAUUAUGGUAAUCCACCAUAUCUAUACUGUAAACUCUGGAUUAGUGCGUCCAGUAGACAAAAACAAAGUUAUGACUUAUGUGGAUCACUAUGUUAUUGGCAAGCUAUA
Long non-coding RNA from Panicum virgatum (switchgrass), 1451 nucleotides. RefSeq lists it as uncharacterized. The transcript is spliced from 5 exons. The record is from RefSeq and is a predicted model, not a curated record. NCBI's taxonomy places the organism in Eukaryota, Viridiplantae, Streptophyta, Magnoliopsida, Poales, Poaceae.